CAGAAAAUAGUUUAGCGUUAGAAUUCUGGCUUUGGGAGCCAGGGGUGGGAGUUAAAAUCUCCUUUUUCUGG
RNAcentral lists this transfer RNA (71 nucleotides) under Tampichthys ipni (lantern minnow). RNAcentral describes it as "tRNA-Pro". It matches the Rfam family "tRNA". Rfam says of the family: Transfer RNA (tRNA) molecules are approximately 80 nucleotides in length. Their secondary structure includes four short double-helical elements and three loops (D, anti-codon, and T loops). Further hydrogen bonds mediate the characteristic L-shaped molecular structure. tRNAs have two regions of fundamental functional importance: the anti-codon, which is responsible for specific mRNA codon recognition, and the 3' end, to which the tRNAs corresponding amino acid is attached (by aminoacyl-tRNA synthetases). tRNAs cope with the degeneracy of the genetic code in two manners: having more than one tRNA (with a specific anti-codon) for a particular amino acid; and 'wobble' base-pairing, i.e. permitting non-standard base-pairing at the 3rd anti-codon position. Lineage: Eukaryota; Metazoa; Chordata; Actinopteri; Cypriniformes; Leuciscidae. The record is from RNAcentral.